GACGAACGCUGGCGGCGUGCCUAAUACAUGCAAGUAGAACGCUGAAGGCGGAGCUUUCUCUUCUGGUUGAGUUGCGAACGGGUGAGUAACGCGUAGGUAACCUGCCUGGUAGCGGGGGAUAACUAUUGGAAACGAUAGCUAAUACCGCAUAAUAGUAGCUGUUGCAUGAUAUUUACUUAAAAGGUGCAAUUGUACCACUACCAGAUGGAGCUGCGUUGUAUUAGCUAGUUGGUGGGGUAACGGAUCACCAAGGCGACGAUACAUACCCGACCUGAGAGGGUGGUCGGCCAGACUGGGACUGAGACACGGCACAGAGUCCUACGGGAAGCAGCAGUAGGGAAUCGUCGGCAAGGGGCGAAAGUCUGACCGAGAAACGCCGCAGGAGUGAGGAAGGUUGUCGGAUCGGAAAGGUCGGUUGUAAGAGAAGAACGAGUGUGAGAGUGGAAAGUACACACAGUGACGGUAUCGUACCAGGAAGGAACGGCUAACUACGUG
This 495-nucleotide ribosomal RNA is filed under the name uncultured bacterium. RNAcentral's name for it is "partial 16S ribosomal RNA". It matches the Rfam family "Bacterial small subunit ribosomal RNA", at positions 28 to 507 of the family's 1533-position model. The record is from RNAcentral.